UGGGGGGCCUUUCCCAUUGCAAGUUCGAACGGUAACGCGGGGCAACCUGGCGACGAGUGGCGAACGGGUGAGUAAUGCAUCGGAACGUGCCCAGUAGUGGGGGAUAGCCCGGCGAAAGCCGGAUUAAUACCGCAUACGACCUACGGGUGAAAGCGGGGGAUCGCAAGACCUCGCGCUAUUGGAGCGGCCGAUGUCAGAUUAGGUUGUUGGUGGGGUAAAGGCCUACCAAGCCGACGAUCUGUAGCUGGUCUGAGAGGACGACCAGCCACACUGGGACUGAGACACGGCCCAGACUCCUACGGGAGGCAGCAGUGGGGGAUUUUGGACAAUGGGGGAAACCCUGAUCCAGCCAUGCCGCGUGCGGGAAGAAGGCCUUCGGGUUGUAAACCGCUUUUGUCAGGGAAGAAACGCUCUGGGCUAAUACCCCGGGGUAAUGACGGUACCUGAAGAAUAAGCACCGGCUAACUACGUGCCAGCAUCCGCGGUAAAU
Molecule: ribosomal RNA, 490 nt
Filed under: uncultured Piscinibacter sp.
Lineage: Bacteria; Pseudomonadati; Pseudomonadota; Betaproteobacteria; Burkholderiales; Sphaerotilaceae
Description: bacterial SSU rRNA
Rfam family: Bacterial small subunit ribosomal RNA
Source: RNAcentral